RNAcentral lists this transfer RNA (71 nucleotides) under Heterocephalus glaber (naked mole-rat). It matches the Rfam family "tRNA". From Rfam's summary of the family: Transfer RNA (tRNA) molecules are approximately 80 nucleotides in length. Their secondary structure includes four short double-helical elements and three loops (D, anti-codon, and T loops). The record is from Rfam by way of RNAcentral. Lineage: Eukaryota; Metazoa; Chordata; Mammalia; Rodentia; Bathyergidae.
UAUUGUGUAGCUCAGUGGUGGAGCACUUGCCUAGCAUGCAUGAGGCCUGGAUUCCAUCCCCAGCACAACAA